Molecule: ribosomal RNA, 455 nt
Filed under: uncultured bacterium
Lineage: Bacteria
Description: bacterial SSU rRNA
Rfam family: Bacterial small subunit ribosomal RNA
Source: RNAcentral
UUUAAGCUUCCUACGGGAGGCUGCAGUGGGGAAUCUUGCGAUGGGGGGAAAGCCUGACGCAGCCAUGCCGCGUGAAUGAUGAAGGUCUUAGGAUUGUAAAAUUCUUUCACCGGGGACGAUAAUGACGGUACCCGGAGAAGAAGCCCCGGCUAACUUCGUGCCAGCAGCCGCGGUAAUACGAAGGGGGCUAGCGUUGCUCGGAAUUACUGGGCGUAAAGGGAGCGUAGGCGGACAUUUAAGUCAGGGGUGAAAUCCCGGGGCUCAACCUCGGAAUUGCCUUUGAUACUGGGUGUCUUGAGUAUGAGAGAGGUGUGUGGAACUCCGAGUGUAGAGGUGAAAUUCGUAGAUAUUCGGAAGAACACCAGUGGCGAAGGCGACACACUGGCUCAUUACUGACGCUGAGGCUCGAAAGCGUGGGGAGCAAACAGGAUUAGAUACCUUGUAGUCGAAUUCUU